Molecule: ribosomal RNA, 467 nt
Filed under: uncultured bacterium
Lineage: Bacteria
Description: partial 16S ribosomal RNA
Rfam family: Bacterial small subunit ribosomal RNA
Source: RNAcentral
GACGAACGCUGGCGGCGUGCUUAACACAUGCAAGUCGAACGGAAAGGCCUCUUUCGGGGGGUACUCGAGUGGCGAACGGGUGAGUAACACGUGAGUAACCUGCCCUUGACUUUGGGAUAACUUCAGGAAACCGGGGCUAAUACCGGAUAGGAGCUCCUGCUGCAUGGUGGGGGUUGGAAAGUUUCGGCGGUUGGGGAUGGACUCGCGGCUUAUCAGCUUGUUGGUGGGGUAGUGGCUUACCAAGGCUUUGACGGGUAGCCGGCCUGAGAGGGUGACCGGCCACAUUGGGACUGAGAUACGGCCCAGACUCCUACGGGAGGCAGCAGUGGGGAAUAUUGCACAAUGGGUGGAAGCCUGAUGCAGCAACGCCGUGUGCGGGAUGACGGCCUUCGGGUUGCAAACCGCUUUCGCUCAUGACGAAGCUUUGUGUGACGGUAGUGGGUAAAGAAGCACCGGCUAACUACGUG